RNAcentral lists this ribosomal RNA (468 nucleotides) under uncultured bacterium. RNAcentral's name for it is "partial 16S ribosomal RNA". It matches the Rfam family "Bacterial small subunit ribosomal RNA", at positions 28 to 507 of the family's 1533-position model. The record is from RNAcentral.
GACGAACGCUGGCGGCGUGCUUAACACAUGCAAGUCGAACGGAAAGGCCCUGCUUUUGUGGGGUGCUCGAGUGGCGAACGGGUGAGUAACACGUGAGUAACCUGCCCUUGACUUUGGGAUAACUUCAGGAAACUGGGGCUAAUACCGGAUAGGAGCUCCUGCUGGAUGGUGGGGGUUGGAAAGUUUCGGCGGUUGGGGAUGGACUCGCGGCUUAUCAGCUUGUUGGUGGGGUAGUGGCUUACCAAGGCUUUGACGGGUAGCCGGCCUGAGAGGGUGACCGGCCACAUUGGGACUGAGAUACGGCCCAGACUCCUACGGGAGGCAGCAGUGGGGAAUAUUGCACAAUGGGCGGAAGCCUGAUGCAGCAACGCCGCGUGCGGGAUGACGGCCUUCGGGUUGUAAACCGCUUUCGCCUGUGACGAAGCGUGAGUGACGGUAAUGUGUAAAGAAGCACCGGCUAACUACGUG